CUUUUUUUUUUUUUUUUCACAUGAGUCUUAAGGACAAAUCAACAUAUCAAAUGUAUGAGCAGCAAUGGUAAACAGUCAUUGAUGUUAACUCUAUAUGUCUCAGCUCUGCACUGCCAUAAUGAAGAUCCAGUUGUAUUUGUGUUUGCUGUACAAGCUAGCUUCAGGAUUUCAACUUGCCAAACUUUUUACUCUAUAAAAAUUCUCAGGCAAAACUAUAGGCUAUAAUUUGUUACAAUGGAAUUGGGUGGUGACUACAUUUUGGUAUUUUCACUAGUUCAAUCUGAUGAGCCAAUCUUCAAUGAUAGGUAGGAAAUCUUUGGAUCUCAGGAAAUCAAGUAGAAAUCAAAGACUAUCACGCUAUUUGUUGAGCAAUAUUACACUUAAAUAGUUCAAAUUCAUUUAUAGAUUCAUAAAAGUAGAACCAAUAUAAAGCUUGAUAUGAAAUGAAUGGACCCUGAUAGGUCGUCUUCUCUUCUCUAUAACUUAGUUUUUCAUAUCAAAACAUUUAGUAGUUGAAAUGGAAUCCUAAUUAUAUCCCCUACAUAUUUACAUGUAUCUGUAGAAACUUGAGGAAACAAGAAGCUAAUGAAUUUUUUAAAUAAAAAAAUCUUCCUGUUUACACUUCUCUUACAACCUUAACAUAGUAGACCAAGUGACAAGUAGUCUAUACUAUACUAGUAUAUGUAUUAGAGAUUUGACUUUGAUCACAUUGUCUUAACUCAAAAUGAUGGCAGGAUACCUUUAGAGUUGCAGAUAAUUUCAUUCAGAAAUUUGAAACUUUUUUUUUGUCCAAUUGGAAAUUCUUUUUUGGACAAGCUGUCAAAGUUUCUCUCAUUAAGGUCAAAAUGUUUAAUUUUUUAACUGUCUGGCUGCUAUCUGUUCUCCCCUUCACAUUUCAUGUUGGGUAAAGAUUUACAUGACUUGUUAGAAUGAGGACAUUGUGUACAUUUCUGUAAGAGAAUCAAACCAAAGACAGGUGAGUGGAAGUGUGGUUAUUGAUUGCAACGCUGCUCAAAACUUUUGAAGUAAAAAUGUCAAGUGGUAAUAGCAAGAAAUUUGAUGUCCAUGAUUCUCUUCUUAACCUGAUGUACAAACCAAAAUUAAUGUAUAGACGAAUCUAUUCACUUAUCAAAUAUAAUGUUGAUAUAUUUUGAUUUUUAAAACGUGACAAUUGACCCCUACAUUUAGCCACCAAGUGGAAUAGAUUGCCUUCUCUGUGCUUCUAGUAGUCUGAGACUUUUGAUUGAGCAGCACAUUGUUGGUAUCCUUGGCUUUUAACUUUGACUCCUGAGUCCCUUGAAUGCUUGUGUUACAGCGGACAUAGACUACCAUCGUCAAGACAUGAUAUUCAUGUUUGGAUUAUAUGCCAUUGUUGUUUUAGGAAGACAUUUUGCCAGAGUAACUCCAGGGAUUUGGACAUUUUGUAUUGUACGUGUUGAAAUGAUUUGCAGUUAAGAUUUGAACUAUUCAAAUAAACUUACUGUCAGUUCAAUAGCCUCAUUCAAUAUUUUUGAAACAGUAAAACUUGGAUUAAAAUGUAACAUUCAAAAUGUUAAGUUUCCUAAUCUGUUCAUUGAUUAGCCUUUAAACCUAAACUUAGCUGUUCAAUCUUGUAGGGCUGAGGCCCUCAUUCUAAGUAGUUGACCUCCCCUUUUAGAAUCAUCAUAACGUUCGA
Biomphalaria pfeifferi is the source of this 1675-nucleotide non-coding RNA. NCBI's taxonomy places the organism in Eukaryota, Metazoa, Mollusca, Gastropoda, Planorbidae. The record is from the annotation of a GenBank genome assembly.